AGGGACAUAGCUCAAUUGGUAGAGCCCCAAGAUUUGGCCUUGGAGGUUUCAGGUUCGAGACCUGAUGUCCCUG
Molecule: transfer RNA, 73 nt
Filed under: Candidatus Uabimicrobium amorphum
Lineage: Bacteria; Pseudomonadati; Planctomycetota; Candidatus Uabimicrobiia; Candidatus Uabimicrobiales; Candidatus Uabimicrobiaceae
Description: Uabimicrobium amorphum tRNA
Source: Rfam by way of RNAcentral